Molecule: ribosomal RNA, 468 nt
Filed under: uncultured bacterium
Lineage: Bacteria
Description: partial 16S ribosomal RNA
Rfam family: Bacterial small subunit ribosomal RNA
Source: RNAcentral
GACGAACGCUGGCGGCGUGCUUAACACAUGCAAGUCGAACGGAAAGGCCCUGCUUUUGUGGGUUGCUCGAGUGGCGAACGGGGGAGUAACACGUGAGUAACCUGCCCUUGACUUUGGGAUAACUUCAGGAAACUGGGGCUAAUACCGGAUAGGAGCUCCUGCUGCAUGGUGGGGGUUGGAAAGUUUCGGCGGUUGGGGAUGGACUCGCGGCUUAUCAGAGUGUUGGUGGGGUAGUGGCUUACCAAGGCUUUGACGGGUAGCCGGCCUGAGAGGGUGACCGGCCACAUUGGGCCUGAGAUACGGCCCAGACUCCUACGGGAGGCAGCAGUGGGGAAUAUUGCACAAUGGGCCGAAGCCUGAUGCAGCAACGCCGCGUGCGGGAUGACGGCCUUCGGGUUGUAAACCGCUUUCGCCUGUGACGAAGCGUGAGUGACGGUAAUGGGUAAAGAAGCACCGGCUAACUACGUG